UGGUACCGAGCACAGUAACAUUAGAGACGUAAAUACAUGAACUUUCUGUCGCUCCAGCAUGAAGUUCAAAAUAAGGAAAAUGGUUAAAUAUCUUGGAGUUGUGUUGUUCGUAUCCUGCAUUGGGAUCAUCGUCUUCCUUUACGAACCGGAGGAACCCCGUGUGCCACACCGACAACACAUGUUAGAGUUAUUUAAACACAUGCAGAACCGAUCUCGGAACUCCUCCCAUCUCUGGGGAUACCGCCCUGAAGAAGUAACAUUCCAGAGAACGGUAUGGUAUCUGGCACAUGCUCGCUACAAUGUGACCUUGUGGCGCGAUCUUGAUCUCAUGAAACUGCAAGUACCACGGCCUCUGUUGGAGUUUACCAGCCACUGUUGGUGGGUGCACAACGUCACACCGAACCACUGCCCUUGGGCCAUGGAGCCAAGCAGGGGACCCAUGGCGGAGAUGGGGGAGACUGGGGUGCUGCGUUGCCUCCCCUCCUUUUACAUCAUAGGGCAGGGCGAGAGUGGGACCACCGACCUGUUCAACAAACUGACAAGACACCCCCACGUUGCCCCCCACACUAUGACGGAGACAGAAUGGUUGUCCCGAACACGACUAAUCGAAUCCUGUUCCUCCUUCGAGACGCAUCUGAAUCUGCUGCAGAUCAGCGCCAACUUCAUACAGAGAAACUACAAACAGAGUGUGGACCCUUACAUCACCGGAGAUGCCACGCCAGGAUAUUUCUCCUAUAACGACUUUUGGGAUAUGUUGCCUGGCAACGAAGGGUGUACCGAACCAUGUGUGACCAAUGCUGACAUCAUCCAUCAUCUGAACCCUGGGGCCAAGAUCAUCCUGUCACUCAGGAACCCCACAGACAGACUCUACUCCUAUUACAUCUCUAAGUCGGCUAAAUUAGGAAGGGUGGCGUCACAACAAGACUUCCACGACCUGGUCAACAGAGAGAUCGUUUCCUUCGUCGACUGUCUGGCGUCGCAGUCCCUCCGGGGAUGUUGUUACAACUACACCAUCGCUGAUUCCCUGACAGAAGAGAUCGAUCUUCGGCGAGGAAUCUACCACGUGUUCCUUUGGGACUGGAGGAAAGUGUUCCCUAGUAAACAGAUCCACGUCCAUACGUUUGAAGACUACACGAGUAAUAAAGCAAAACAUCUUGCAGAAAUCUUCAAAUUCCUGGAUUUAAAUGCUCUGUUUGAUUCCAAUCUGCACAGAAUCGCCGCAGCCAAUCAGGAACAGACUGACCAGACAAUUGGGGACAUGAUGCCGUGGACACGUUUCAUCCUGGACAGAUUCUACAAACCACAUAACCAAAAACUUGCAGCAUUGAUGGGGAAAGAUUAUUGGUGAUUUGGUAAAACGAGGAUAUUUUAUGAGAGGGGAAUGCCCGAGAAACUCUCCCUUGAGUAACUGUCCAAUAGAGAGUUACGAAGGUGAUAUUGACGUGUCGGCAAGUCUCAUAGUCCGUCGCGAGUUGAUCUCAAGAGUGCAUGGUACACGACUUUCCAAAGUUUCAUGGGGUCCUAACCGAGUCUGUUAUCAAUCGCUUGCAAUUUUAAUAAACAUGCAUAGGAAAUAAAGAACCCUGAAAAAGGAUAUAUAAUUAUGUUUUUUUAAUUGUUUUUUAUCAAUAUGUUUUGUUAUGUUUUUAUGUCUGUAGGUUCCACAACAUUGCCUACGACUUUUGAACCAUGAUACAUUAACUCCGUUUCAUUGAUGACAGACGUUACACAGUCUCGACAGCCAAAUUAAGUCCAUAUCAUAGAAAAAGUUAGUGAGUGAGUAUGGUUUUACACCUACACCGCUUUUAGCAAUA
RNAcentral lists this unclassified non-coding RNA (1814 nucleotides) under Haliotis rufescens (red abalone). RNAcentral describes it as "carbohydrate sulfotransferase 15-like, transcript variant X2". The record is from RNAcentral. Lineage: Eukaryota; Metazoa; Mollusca; Gastropoda; Lepetellida; Haliotidae.